GGGGGUGGAGGGGAACUGGUGUUCCCAGCGGUCUUCAAAACCGUGUAGCCCGGCUAGAACCCGGGUGGGUGGGUUCGAUUCCCACACGCUCCCGCCA
This 97-nucleotide transfer RNA is filed under the name Gemmatimonadota bacterium. RNAcentral's name for it is "tRNA-Sec". It matches the Rfam family "Selenocysteine transfer RNA". The record is from RNAcentral. Lineage: Bacteria; Pseudomonadati; Gemmatimonadota.